This is a long non-coding RNA of Aedes albopictus (Asian tiger mosquito), 566 nucleotides long. RefSeq lists it as uncharacterized. The record is from RefSeq and is a predicted model, not a curated record. Lineage: Eukaryota; Metazoa; Arthropoda; Insecta; Diptera; Culicidae. The transcript is spliced from 2 exons.
GUAACGUGGGUAGAUCACCUUAUAAUGGUGCGUUACGGCGUAAGAUCUACCAUAACCAAUUUUGGUUUCGUAAUUCUCCAGCAUAGUUAAUUUAAAUGCAGGAGAAUUAUAAAAUCAAAAUUUGGAUUACUUUUCUUUUUCUGUGUUUUGUUUUAUAUUUGUAUUUCGUUUUUUCACUACUAAUAUACCAUUUGUUUCAGUGUUAUCUGCUUGAUUUUAACUUCAACUUUAAUAAAAUAACGAUUUGUUUCAGCGCUGUUCAGGUAAAAUCAGGUAAUUGGUCAACUAUAUAAUUAAAUAUAUUUAAAUUACAUGACACUUGGGAUAUUGGGAGGGGUAGCCUAAGGAAGCUAAAUGAACUGGUUUCUGGACAAAUGUUCGUGGGGUGGCCAGCCUUUGUCACGAGAUAACAACCAUCGUGUUGACUUCCGAAGGUCUCCAGUAAAUUUAGCUUACCCUGCUACAACAAACCAUCAGGUAGAUCAUUCCCUUCCGGUAUGACUCUGCAGCCAUAGGUAAUCCUUGCGCUGAUGGUGGGUACACAAUCAUCAUCAUCAUCAUCAUCA